GGGCCUAUAGUUCAAUGGAUAGAACACUUGGCUUCGGACCAAGCGAUCCAGGUUCGAGUCCUGGUAGGCCCA
This 72-nucleotide transfer RNA is filed under the name Candidatus Pacearchaeota archaeon. RNAcentral's name for it is "tRNA-Arg". It matches the Rfam family "tRNA". From Rfam's summary of the family: Transfer RNA (tRNA) molecules are approximately 80 nucleotides in length. Their secondary structure includes four short double-helical elements and three loops (D, anti-codon, and T loops). The record is from RNAcentral. Lineage: Archaea; Nanobdellati.